Molecule: non-coding RNA, 162 nt
Organism: Poecilia reticulata (guppy)
Lineage: Eukaryota; Metazoa; Chordata; Actinopteri; Cyprinodontiformes; Poeciliidae
Source: RefSeq, a predicted model, not a curated record
CUCAACUGAAAGCUUUCUCAAAGAUAUCACUGGUUUUCAGCGUACUCUUUGACUACUCUGUGACCUACUCAUGUGAACCACUGCCCAUGUGACCACAUGUUUGUUAAAAUGCUGUCGAUGAGAUUCAUCUAAAGAAAAGAUAAAUAAAAGAUGUCACUGAGA